GGCGACGACGGGUAGCCGGCCUGAGAGGGCGACCGGCCACACUGGGACUGAGACACGGCCCAGACUCCUACGGGAGGCAGCAGUGGGGAAUAUUGCACAAUGGGCGAAAGCCUGAUGCAGCGACGCCGCGUGAGGGAUGACGGCCUUCGGGUUGUAAACCUCUUUCAGCAGGGAAGAAGCGAAAGUGACGGUACCUGCAGAAGAAGCGCCGGCUAACUACGUGCCAGCAGCCGCGGUAAUACGUAGGGCGCGAGCGUUGUCCGGAAUUAUUGGGCGUAAAGAGCUCGUAGGCGGUCUGUCGCGUCGGAUGUGAAAGCCCGGGGCUUAACCCCGGGUCUGCAUUCGAUACGGGCAGACUAGAGUGUGGUAGGGGAGAUCGGAAUUCCUGGUGUAGCGGUGAAAUGCGCAGAUAUCAGGAGGAACACCGGUGGCGAAGGCGGAUCUCUGGGCCAUUACUGACGCUGAGGAGCGAAAGCGUGGGGAGCGAACAGGAUUAGAUACCCUGGUAGUCCACGCCGUAAACGGUGGGAACUAGGUGUUGGCGACAUUCCACGUCGUCGGUGCCGCAGCUAACGCAUUAAGUUCCCCGCC
RNAcentral lists this ribosomal RNA (591 nucleotides) under Streptomyces sp. G-22. RNAcentral's name for it is "bacterial SSU rRNA". It matches the Rfam family "Bacterial small subunit ribosomal RNA", at positions 272 to 873 of the family's 1533-position model. Lineage: Bacteria; Bacillati; Actinomycetota; Actinomycetes; Kitasatosporales; Streptomycetaceae. The record is from RNAcentral.